RNAcentral lists this ribosomal RNA (2547 nucleotides) under Escherichia coli. RNAcentral describes it as "partial 23S ribosomal RNA". It matches the Rfam family "Bacterial large subunit ribosomal RNA", at positions 398 to 2925 of the family's 2925-position model. Lineage: Bacteria; Pseudomonadati; Pseudomonadota; Gammaproteobacteria; Enterobacterales; Enterobacteriaceae. RNAcentral also lists the same sequence under 1 other name. The record is from RNAcentral.
UGUGAGCUCGAUGAGUAGGGCGGGACACGUGGUAUCCUGUCUGAAUAUGGGGGGACCAUCCUCCAAGGCUAAAUACUCCUGACUGACCGAUAGUGAACCAGUACCGUGAGGGAAAGGCGAAAAGAACCCCGGCGAGGGGAGUGAAAAAGAACCUGAAACCGUGUACGUACAAGCAGUGGGAGCACGCUUAGGCGUGUGACUGCGUACCUUUUGUAUAAUGGGUCAGCGACUUAUAUUCUGUAGCAAGGUUAACCGAAUAGGGGAGCCGAAGGGAAACCGAGUCUUAACUGGGCGUUAAGUUGCAGGGUAUAGACCCGAAACCCGGUGAUCUAGCCAUGGGCAGGUUGAAGGUUGGGUAACACUAACUGGAGGACCGAACCGACUAAUGUUGAAAAAUUAGCGGAUGACUUGUGGCUGGGGGUGAAAGGCCAAUCAAACCGGGAGAUAGCUGGUUCUCCCCGAAAGCUAUUUAGGUAGCGCCUCGUGAAUUCAUCUCCGGGGGUAGAGCACUGUUUCGGCAAGGGGGUCAUCCCGACUUACCAACCCGAUGCAAACUGCGAAUACCGGAGAAUGUUAUCACGGGAGACACACGGCGGGUGCUAACGUCCGUCGUGAAGAGGGAAACAACCCAGACCGCCAGCUAAGGUCCCAAAGUCAUGGUUAAGUGGGAAACGAUGUGGGAAGGCCCAGACAGCCAGGAUGUUGGCUUAGAAGCAGCCAUCAUUUAAAGAAAGCGUAAUAGCUCACUGGUCGAGUCGGCCUGCGCGGAAGAUGUAACGGGGCUAAACCAUGCACCGAAGCUGCGGCAGCGACGCUUAUGCGUUGUUGGGUAGGGGAGCGUUCUGUAAGCCUGUGAAGGUGUGCUGUGAGGCAUGCUGGAGGUAUCAGAAGUGCGAAUGCUGACAUAAGUAACGAUAAAGCGGGUGAAAAGCCCGCUCGCCGGAAGACCAAGGGUUCCUGUCCAACGUUAAUCGGGGCAGGGUGAGUCGACCCCUAAGGCGAGGCCGAAAGGCGUAGUCGAUGGGAAACAGGUUAAUAUUCCUGUACUUGGUGUUACUGCGAAGGGGGGACGGAGAAGGCUAUGUUGGCCGGGCGACGGUUGUCCCGGUUUAAGCGUGUAGGCUGGUUUUCCAGGCAAAUCCGGAAAAUCAAGGCUGAGGCGUGAUGACGAGGCACUACGGUGCUGAAGCAACAAAUGCCCUGCUUCCAGGAAAAGCCUCUAAGCAUCAGGUAACAUCAAAUCGUACCCCAAACCGACACAGGUGGUCAGGUAGAGAAUACCAAGGCGCUUGAGAGAACUCGGGUGAAGGAACUAGGCAAAAUGGUGCCGUAACUUCGGGAGAAGGCACGCUGAUAUGUAGGUGAAGUCCCUCGCGGAUGGAGCUGAAAUCAGUCGAAGAUACCAGCUGGCUGCAACUGUUUAUUAAAAACACAGCACUGUGCAAACACGAAAGUGGACGUAUACGGUGUGACGCCUGCCCGGUGCCGGAAGGUUAAUUGAUGGGGUCAGCGCAAGCGAAGCUCUUGAUCGAAGCCCCGGUAAACGGCGGCCGUAACUAUAACGGUCCUAAGGUAGCGAAAUUCCUUGUCGGGUAAGUUCCGACCUGCACGAAUGGCGUAAUGAUGGCCAGGCUGUCUCCACCCGAGACUCAGUGAAAUUGAACUCGCUGUGAAGAUGCAGUGUACCCGCGGCAAGACGGAAAGACCCCGUGAACCUUUACUAUAGCUUGACACUGAACAUUGAGCCUUGAUGUGUAGGAUAGGUGGGAGGCUUUGAAGUGUGGACGCCAGUCUGCAUGGAGCCGACCUUGAAAUACCACCCUUUAAUGUUUGAUGUUCUAACGUUGACCCGUGAUCCGGGUUGCGGACAGUGUCUGGUGGGUAGUUUGACUGGGGCGGUCUCCUCCUAAAGAGUAACGGAGGAGCACGAAGGUUGGCUAAUCCUGGUCGGACAUCAGGAGGUUAGUGCAAUGGCAUAAGCCAGCUUGACUGCGAGCGUGACGGCGCGAGCAGGUGCGAAAGCAGGUCAUAGUGAUCCGGUGGUUCUGAAUGGAAGGGCCAUCGCUCAACGGAUAAAAGGUACUCCGGGGAUAACAGGCUGAUACCGCCCAAGAGUUCAUAUCGACGGCGGUGUUUGGCACCUCGAUGUCGGCUCAUCACAUCCUGGGGCUGAAGUAGGUCCCAAGGGUAUGGCUGUUCGCCAUUUAAAGUGGUACGCGAGCUGGGUUUAGAACGUCGUGAGACAGUUCGGUCCCUAUCUGCCGUGGGCGCUGGAGAACUGAGGGGGGCUGCUCCUAGUACGAGAGGACCGGAGUGGACGCAUCACUGGUGUUCGGGUUGUCAUGCCAAUGGCACUGCCCGGUAGCUAAAUGCGGAAGAGAUAAGUGCUGAAAGCAUCUAAGCACGAAACUUGCCCCGAGAUGAGUUCUCCCUGACCCUUUAAGGGUCCUGAAGGAACGUUGAAGACGACGACGUUGAUAGGCCGGGUGUGUAAGCGCAGCGAUGCGUUGAGCUAACCGGUACUAAUGAACCGUGAGGCUUAACCUU